This 443-nucleotide ribosomal RNA is filed under the name uncultured bacterium. RNAcentral describes it as "bacterial SSU rRNA". It matches the Rfam family "Bacterial small subunit ribosomal RNA", at positions 958 to 1398 of the family's 1533-position model. The record is from RNAcentral.
AACGCGAAGAACCUUACCUAGGCUUGACAUGUACGCGAAGGCCGUGAGAGAUCGCGGUCGCCCUUCGGGGCGCGUGCACAGGUGCUGCAUGGCUGUCGUCAGCUCGUGUCGUGAGAUGUUGGGUUAAGUCCCGCAACGAGCGCAACCCUUAUCCCUAGUUGCCAUCGGGUCAAGCCGGGCACUCUAGUGAAACUGCCUCGGAUAACGAGGAGGAAGGUGGGGAUGACGUCAAGUCCUCAUGGCCUUUAUGUCCAGGGCUACACACGUGCUACAAUGGUCGGUACAAACCGUCGCAAACCCGUGAGGGGGAGCUAAUCGGAAAAAGCCGGCCUCAGUUCGGAUUGGAGUCUGCAACUCGACUCCAUGAAGCUGGAAUCGCUAGUAAUCGCGGAUCAGAACGCCGCGGUGAAUACGUUCCCGGGCCUUGUACACACCGAGACGAC